This 497-nucleotide ribosomal RNA is filed under the name uncultured bacterium. RNAcentral's name for it is "partial 16S ribosomal RNA". It matches the Rfam family "Bacterial small subunit ribosomal RNA", at positions 28 to 507 of the family's 1533-position model. The record is from RNAcentral.
GAUGAACGCUGGCGGCGUGCCUAAUACAUGCAAGUCGAGCGAACAGAUGAGGAGCUUGCUCCUCUGACGUUAGCGGCGGACGGGUGAGUAACACGUGGAUAACCUACCUAUAAGACUGGGAUAACUUCGGGAAACCGGAGCUAAUACCGGAUAAUAUAUUGAACCGCAUGGUUCAAUAGUGAAAGACGGUUUUGCUGUCACUUAUAGAUGGAUCCGCGCCGCAUUAGCUAGUUGGUAAGGUAACGGCUUACCAAGGCAACGAUGCGUAGCCGACCUGAGAGGGUGACCGCCCACCCUGGAACUGAGACACGGUCCACACUCCUACGGGAGGCAGCAUUAUGGAAUCUUCCGCAAUGGGCGAAAGCCUGACGGAGCAACGCCGCGUGAGUGAUGAAGGUCUUCGGAUCGUAAAACUCUGUUAUCAGGGAAGAACAAAUGUGUAAGUAACUAUGCACGUCUUGACGGUACCUAAUCAGAAAGCCACGGCUAACUACGUG